ACUCCUACGGGAGGCAGCAGUGGGGAAUAUUGCACAAUGGGGGAAACCCUGAUGCAGCCAUGCCGCGUGUGUGAAGAAGGCCUUCGGUUGUAAAGCACUUUCAGUAGGGAGGAAGGUAGUGUAGUUAACACCUGCACUAUUUGACGUUACCUACAGAAGAAGCACCGGCUAACUCCGUGCCAGCAGCCGCGGUAAUACGGAGGGGUGCGAGCGUUAAUCGGAAUUACUGGGCGUAAAGCGCAUGCAGGCGGCCUGUUAAGUCAGAUGUGAAAGCCCGGGGGCUUAACCUCGGAAUUGCAUUUGAAACUGGCAGGCUAGAGUCUUGUAGAGGGGGUAGAAGUUUCAGGUGUAGCGGUGAAAUGCGUAGAGAUCUGAAGG
Molecule: ribosomal RNA, 378 nt
Filed under: uncultured bacterium
Lineage: Bacteria
Description: bacterial SSU rRNA
Rfam family: Bacterial small subunit ribosomal RNA
Source: RNAcentral